This 379-nucleotide ribosomal RNA is filed under the name uncultured cyanobacterium. Its description in RNAcentral is "bacterial SSU rRNA". It matches the Rfam family "Bacterial small subunit ribosomal RNA", at positions 376 to 770 of the family's 1533-position model. Lineage: Bacteria; Bacillati; Cyanobacteriota. The record is from RNAcentral.
CGCAAGCCUGACGGAGCAACGCCGCGUGUGGGAAGAAGGCUCUUGGGCUGUCAACCACUUUUCGCAGGGAAGAAGCCCUGACGGUACCUGAGGAAUCAGCCUCGGCUAACUCCGUGCCAGCAGCCGCGGUAAUACGGAGGAGGCAAGCGUUAUCCGGAAUUAUUGGGCGUAAAGCGUCCGCAGGGGGCACAUCAAGUCUGCUGUUAAAGGCUGGAGCUUAACUCCGGUAGAGCAGUGGAAACUGGUGUGCUAGAGGGCGACAGGGGUAGAGGGAAUUCCCAGUGUAGCGGUGAAAUGCGUAGAGAUUGGGAAGAACACCGGUGGCGAAAGCGCUCUACUGGGUCGCACCAGACCCUCAGGGACGAAAGCUAAGGUAGCG